AAAGCAGUAGUUCAGUUGGUUAGGGCUUUUUAUUAGAGAUAGUCGGCCUGUCAUGCGUGCCGAAGGCACACGGGUUCGAGUCCCGUCCGCUCUGCCA
This 97-nucleotide transfer RNA is filed under the name Shewanella colwelliana. Its description in RNAcentral is "tRNA-Leu". The record is from RNAcentral. Lineage: Bacteria; Pseudomonadati; Pseudomonadota; Gammaproteobacteria; Alteromonadales; Shewanellaceae.